This 640-nucleotide ribosomal RNA is filed under the name Salmonella enterica subsp. enterica serovar Dublin. RNAcentral's name for it is "partial 23S ribosomal RNA". It matches the Rfam family "Bacterial large subunit ribosomal RNA", at positions 568 to 1190 of the family's 2925-position model. Lineage: Bacteria; Pseudomonadati; Pseudomonadota; Gammaproteobacteria; Enterobacterales; Enterobacteriaceae. The record is from RNAcentral.
GCGACGUUCAACCGCAAAAGAAGCAGAGGGGGCUUAGUGGUGGGGUGACUGCGUACCUUUUGUAUAAUGGGUCAGCGACUUAUAUUCUGUAGCAAGGUUAACCGAAUAGGGGAGCCGGAGGGAAACCGAGUCUUAACCGGGCGUUAAGUUGCAGGGUAUAGACCCGAAACCCGGUGAUCUAGCCAUGGGCAGGUUGAAGGUUGGGUAACACUAACUGGAGGACCGAACCGACUAAUGUUGAAAAAUUAGCGGAUGACCUGUGGCUGGGGGUGAAAGGCCAAUCAAACCGGGAGAUAGCUGGUUCUCCCCGAAAGCUAUUUAGGUAGCGCCUCGUGAAUUCAUCUCCGGGGGUAGAGCACUGUUUCGGCUAGGGGGCCAUCCCGGCUUACCAACCCGAUGCAAACUGCGAAUACCGGAGAAUGUUAUCACGGGAGACACACGGCGGGUGCUAACGUCCGUCGUGAAGAGGGAAACAACCCAGACCGCCAGCUAAGGUCCCAAAGUCAUGGUUAAGUGGGAAACGAUGUGGGAAGGCCCAGACAGCCAGGAUGUUGGCUUAGAAGCAGCCAUCAUUUAAAGAAAGCGUAAUAGCUCACUGGUCGAGUCGGCCUGCGCGGAAGAUGUAACGGGGCUAAACCAU